CACUGAUUUUGCGUAACACACAUAGCCUCCGUUAGUUGCAUCAAAACUUAAACACUUAAAACACUUUGUUAUGGUCGGUAUAACUACUCAAUAAGUUCUUUCCAUGUGAUAAUGUCAUAUUGCAGUUGCCGCCUCACACCCCAAACAAAAACACAGCUUUAUUUUGAGCACAUUUGAAAAAUGUUUAAUGGAUCUUUGACAGCAGGGAAAGUGUAAAGUGAAAGCAGCAUGGAGGCUCCGCUCGUUCUCUCUGAGCGAGGUGAUGAAGUGGGUCACGCUGUUUGGCUUUGUUAACAGAUGGAGCCUUCUUGCUGUUGUUCACUCGUUUUUUUGUUUUUUUGUCACCCUCUGUUGGCUCCGUAAACGUGUGGAGAAACCCUUUUCUUACCGCUUUUCUUUUCUCCACCCGAAUGGCUUCUUGGGAUUAUUUCAUUAAAAAAAAAAACUGGAAAAGAAUGGAUAAUUACAAUGUAUGCCCAAAAAAAACAGAUCCUCAGCACGUUGAGAUUCUGAUUGUUUCCCAGGUGCUUUAUAAGAAAAUGAACAGCUUGGCUCCAUUAAAUGCAGAUUAAAUAUUAAAUGACUUCAAGGUGGAGGCUGUCAAAUUCAGACACACUCAACGCUGCUUUGACAGCGGAUGAGCUCCAACGCCUGAGGUGAUCUCCACACAAUUCCCUCAUCAAGUGUCUCCCUUUCACAUAAAAACAACAAUUGCAGAAAAGAAAGAGAGUGAUUUAAGCGAACAAAGAAAAAAAAAAACGAGAUGUUCAGAGGUGAGCAUUUUGUAGCGCUUCAGUAAUACCUCUGAUCAGCCAGGCUUUGAUUCUCUCCUUUAAAAAAAAAAAAAAAAAGAGUGAAAGAAAAAAAAAGAAAGACAAGCGUGCGGUACAGUAUAUACGUAUGUACACAAUGGGCCUGCGUGACCUUUCAAAACUUUCCUCCCACACUUGCGUUCCCUCAGCCCACGUCUACCUAAUUGAGGUCCCUUGUGCCCUGAUCUCCGGAGCUCCUUGUUCCGUCGGGGCUUUCAGUCGUGAUGCACUCUGCACAGACCAGAACACGGGCAUGAAAGGAGGAAAUACAUCUCGCCAGUACCAGUCUUCUCUUAAAGCUAUCUCCUUAGUUGGGUGUUUUUUUUUUCUUAUUCUGUUAGUGCUCUUCCACAGCAUGAUAAGAAAAGAGUGCAGUUUAUAGCACCCUGAAAGGUUCUUGAGCUCUUUGAUGGAACUACUUAG
Clupea harengus (Atlantic herring) is the source of this 1235-nucleotide long non-coding RNA. Lineage: Eukaryota; Metazoa; Chordata; Actinopteri; Clupeiformes; Clupeidae. The record is from Ensembl.